Molecule: ribosomal RNA, 233 nt
Filed under: uncultured bacterium
Lineage: Bacteria
Description: partial 16S ribosomal RNA
Rfam family: Bacterial small subunit ribosomal RNA
Source: RNAcentral
UGAGCAACCUACCGAAAUGAGGGGGAUAGCCGGCCCAACGGCCGGGUAAUACCGCAUACGCUCGAGACCAGGCAUUUGGACUCGAGGAAACCUCCGGGGCAUUUCGAGGGGCUCGCGGCCUAUCAGCUAGUUGGUGAGGUAACGGCUCACCAAGGCGACGACGGGUAGCUGGUCUGAGAGGAUGGCCAGCCACAUUGGGACUGAGAUACGGCCCAGACUCCGUACGGGAGCAG